AUGGAUCCCAAGGGUCUUGACAGCGAUAAGUCGGCGAGUAGGCUCUAUGUGGGCAAUCUGGAUUUUAGGAUAUCAGAGUCUGACGUUAUCAAGAUGUUCUCCCCCUAUGGAAAGAUCAUAGCUGAGGAUUUCCUGUUGCAUACGCGUGGCCCGAAGCGAGGCGAGCCUCGUGGUUAUGCCUUUGUUCAGUACACUACCAAAGAGGAAGCUCAGUUGGCAAAGGAGAAGAUGAAUGGCAAGUUGGUCUGUGGACGUCCUGUGGUGGUUCACCUAGCGAGCGAGAAGUGUUUCCUAGAUUCCGGUAAUUCACAAAGAGCACUGAAAGACAAGAAACUGGCAGGUGGUUCGGGAAGCAAAUUAGCACAAACUGAUCGUGCUGCAAAGAUAUCUGCGAUAAAAAACAAGUUGAAGUCUCUGGAGAAUGAUGGCUGUAGCACAAAAAGACCAAGACUUAACCCAGAUGACUUGAAAAGCACUGGAGAACAAUCUGAUAAGAAGCUUUGA
This 504-nucleotide ribosomal RNA is filed under the name Triticum aestivum (bread wheat). Its description in RNAcentral is "partial small subunit ribosomal RNA". Lineage: Eukaryota; Viridiplantae; Streptophyta; Magnoliopsida; Poales; Poaceae. The record is from RNAcentral.